GACGAACGCUGGCGGCGUGCUUAACACAUGCAAGUCGAACGGAAAGGCCCUGCUUUUGUGGGGUGCUCGAGUGGCGAACGGGUGAGUAACACGUGAGUAACCUGCCCUUGACUUUGGGAUAACUUCAGGAAACUGGGGCUAAUACCGGAUAGGAGCUCCUGCUGCAUGGUGGGGGUUGGAAAGUUUCGGCGGUUGGGGAUGGACUCGCGGCUUAUCAGCUUGUUGGUGGGGUAGUGGCUGACCAAGGCUUUGACGGGUAGCCGGCCUGAGAGGGUGACCGGCCCCAUUCGCCUUCGGGAGGCGCCCGUACCCCCUCCGGGGGGAGGGGGGGGGAAUUUACCCAAAAGGGCGGAGUGCGUUAUGAAGGACCCCGGGUCGGGAAACGCCGCCUUUGGGUUUGAACCCCUUUUCCCGUGUGACUACGCGUGGGGACGGGAAAUGGGUAAAGAACCACGGCUAACUUAGGG
This 467-nucleotide ribosomal RNA is filed under the name uncultured bacterium. Its description in RNAcentral is "partial 16S ribosomal RNA". It matches the Rfam family "Bacterial small subunit ribosomal RNA", at positions 28 to 507 of the family's 1533-position model. The record is from RNAcentral.